CAAAAGGAGGAGUCUCCUACCGUGGUAGCAGGUCCGCCUGGCUACUCGAUAACACGGCCCCCUCCGGGGGGUGUCCCCCACCCUUGUGGAUUUAUACCUUUGUUGCUUUGGCAGGCCGCGUCUAGCCACCGGCGUUCGCUGGUGAGUGCCUGCCAGAGGCCCCAACUCUUGAUUUAAUGGCGUCUGAGUCCUAUAUAAUCGUUA
RNAcentral lists this unclassified non-coding RNA (204 nucleotides) under uncultured Helotiales. RNAcentral describes it as "sequence contains ITS1". Lineage: Eukaryota; Fungi; Ascomycota; Leotiomycetes; Helotiales. The record is from RNAcentral.